RNAcentral lists this ribosomal RNA (497 nucleotides) under uncultured bacterium. Its description in RNAcentral is "partial 16S ribosomal RNA". It matches the Rfam family "Bacterial small subunit ribosomal RNA", at positions 28 to 507 of the family's 1533-position model. The record is from RNAcentral.
GAUGAACGCUGGCGGCGUGCCUAAUACAUGCAAGUCGAGCGAACGGACGAGAAGCUUGCUUUUCUGAUGUUAGCGGCGGACGGGUGAGUAACACGUGGAUAACCUACCUAUAAGACUGGGAUAACUUCGGGAAACCGGAGCUAAUACCGGAUAAUAUUUUGAACCGCAUGGUUCAAAAGUGAAAGACGGUCUUGCUGUCACUUAUAGAUGGAUCCGCGCUGCAUUAGCUAGUUGGUAAGGUAACGGCUUACCAAGGCAACGAUGCAUAGCCGACCUGAGAGGGUGAUCGGCCACACUGGAACUGUGACACGGUCCAGACUCCUACGGGAGGCAGCAGUAGGGAAUCUUCCGCAAUGGGCGAAAGCCUGACGGAGCAACGCCGCGUGAGUGAUGAAGGUCUUCGGAUCGUAAAACUCUGUUAUUAGGGAAGAACAUAUGUGUAAGUAACUGUGCACAUCUUGACGGUACCUAAUCAGAAAGCCACGGCUAACUACGUG